This 501-nucleotide ribosomal RNA is filed under the name uncultured bacterium. RNAcentral describes it as "partial 16S ribosomal RNA". It matches the Rfam family "Bacterial small subunit ribosomal RNA", at positions 30 to 523 of the family's 1533-position model. The record is from RNAcentral.
AUUGAACGCUGGCGGCAGGCUUAACACAUGCAAGUCGAGCGGAGAUGAGGUGCUUGCACCUUAUCUUAGCGGCGGACGGGUGAGUAAUGCUUAGGAAUCUGCCUAUUAGUGGGGGACAACAUUCCGAAAGGAAUGCUAAUACCGCAUACGUCCUACGGGAGAAAGCAGGGGAUCUUCGGACCUUGCGCUAAUAGAUGAGCCUAAGUCGGAUUAGCUAGUUGGUGGGGUAAAGGCCUACCAAGGCGACGAUCUGUAGCGGGUCUGAGAGGAUGACCAGCCACACUGGGACUGAGAACCGGCCCAGCCUCCUACGGGAGGCAGCAGUGGGGAAUAUUGGACAAUGGGGGGAACCCUGAUCCAGCCAUGCCGCGUGUGUGAAGAAGGCCUUAUGGUUGUAAAGCACUUUAAGCGAGGAGGAGGCUACUGAGACUAAUACUCUUGGAUAGUGGACGUUACUCGCAGAAUAAGCACCGUCUAACUCUGUGCCAGCCGCCGCGGUAA